UUGUUGGUAAGGUAAAAGCUUACCAAGACUUCGAUCAGUAGCUGGUCUGAGAGGACGACCAGCCACACUGGGACUGAGACACGGCCCAGACUCCUACGGGAGGCAGCAGUGGGGAAUUUUGGACAAUGGGGGCAACCCUGAUCCAGCCAUGCCGCGUGAGUGAAGAAGGCCUUCGGGUUGUAAAGCUCUUUCAGCCGGAACGAAACGGUUACGGUUAACACCCGUGACUACUGACGGUACCGGAAGAAGAAGCACCGGCUAACUACGUGCCAGCAGCCGCGGUAAUACGUAGGGUGCGAGCGUUAAUCGGAAUUACUGGGCGUAAAGCGUGCGCAGGUGGUUUUGUAAGUCAGAUGUGAAAGCCCCGGGCUCAACCUGGGAACUGCGUUUGAAACUACAAGACUAGAGUGUGGCAGAGGGGGGUGGAAUUCCGCGUGUAGCAGUGAAAUGCGUAGAGAUGUGGAGGAACACCGAUGGCGAAGGCAGCCCCCUGGGUCAACACUGACGCUCAGGCACGAAAGCAUGGGGAGCAAACAGGAUUAGAUACCCUGGUAGUCCAUGCCCUAAACGAUGUCAACUAGUUGUCGGGCCUUUACGGGCUUGGUAACGUAGCUAACGCGUGAAGUUGACCGCCUGGGGAGUACGAUCGCAAGAUUAAAACUCAAAUGAAUUGACGGGGACCCGCACAAGCGGUGGAUUAUGUGGAUUAAUUCGAUGCAACGCGAAAAACAUUACCUACCCUUGACAUGUAUCGAAGCCCGCAGAAAAGCGGGGGUGCCCGAAAGGGAACGAUAACACAGGUGCUGCAUGGCUGUCGUCGGCUCGUGUCGUGAGAUGUUGGGUUAAGUCCCGCAACGAGCGCAACCCUUGUCAUUAAUUGCCAUCAUUUAGUUGGGCACUUUAAUGAGACUGCCGG
This 916-nucleotide ribosomal RNA is filed under the name uncultured bacterium. RNAcentral describes it as "bacterial SSU rRNA". It matches the Rfam family "Bacterial small subunit ribosomal RNA", at positions 246 to 1155 of the family's 1533-position model. The record is from RNAcentral.